AAGGAUUCCCUCAGUACGGGCGACGGAAGCGGGAAAAGCCCACAUUGGUAAUCUCCGGGCGCUAGCUCGGCGAAUUGUAAUCUGAAGAUCGUUAGUCUAAUUGGGCCCGACGCCGAAGUGCGCGCGAGCGCGCCGCCAAAGAGGGUGAGAGCCCCGUCAGGCGCUGGGUGUUACAAAGGCUGGCAAUCGAAGAGUCGUGUACUUUGAUACUAGUGCACCAAGCGGGAGAUAAACUUCUUCUAAGGCUAAAUAUAAGUAGGAAACCGAUAGCGAACAAGUACUGUGAAGGAAAGAUGAAAAGCACUUUGGAAAGAAAGUUAAAAGACUUGAAAUCGUUGAGGCGGACCCGGUAGAAAUGUAUUCUAGCGACGCGCCCUGGGAAGCCUGUAUUCGGGCCACUUGGGCGUUAGCCGAGACAAGAUGGAGUCGCAUCAUGCCAGAGGCGGUGUGCUUUGUAGCUUGCUAUAGAGCGCGCUGGCCGGGUGUGGCGCGGCUUGAGGGGCCUUGUGCGAUCUUGUCAAAAUGGUUUUUACCGACUCGUCUUGAAACACGAACCAAGGAGUCUAAGACUAACGCGAGUGUGGUGGUGGAGAAACCAACACGCGAAAUGAAAGUAAAUGAUGCCAAGCUCCCUGCAGCAUCGGCCGACUUUUUUCUUCUGGAAGAGGUUUGAGUAAGAGCGUUAUUCUUAGGACCCGAAAGAUGGUGAAACUAU
RNAcentral lists this ribosomal RNA (715 nucleotides) under Tintinnopsis tocantinensis. RNAcentral describes it as "LSU rRNA". It matches the Rfam family "Eukaryotic large subunit ribosomal RNA", at positions 70 to 834 of the family's 3401-position model. Lineage: Eukaryota; Ciliophora; Spirotrichea; Tintinnida; Codonellidae. The record is from RNAcentral.